This 253-nucleotide ribosomal RNA is filed under the name uncultured bacterium. RNAcentral describes it as "partial 16S ribosomal RNA". It matches the Rfam family "Bacterial small subunit ribosomal RNA", at positions 524 to 776 of the family's 1533-position model. The record is from RNAcentral.
UACGAAGGGGGCUAGCGUUGUUCGGAAUUACUGGGCGUAAAGCGCACGUAGGCGGACUAUUAAGUCAGGGGUGAAAUCCCGGGGCUCAACCCCGGAACUGCCUUUGAUACUGAUAGUCUCGAGUCCGGAAGAGGUGAGUGGAAUUCCGAGUGUAGAGGUGAAAUUCGUAGAUAUUCGGAGGAACACCAGUGGCGAAGGCGGCUCACUGGUCCGGUACUGACGCUGAGGUGCGAAAGCGUGGGGAGCAAACAGG